Molecule: non-coding RNA, 69 nt
Organism: Trichonephila inaurata madagascariensis
Lineage: Eukaryota; Metazoa; Arthropoda; Arachnida; Araneae; Nephilidae
Source: the annotation of a GenBank genome assembly
GUAGCGCAAAGGGAUAACGCAUUGGACUUCUAAUCCGAAGGUCGUGGUUUCGAAUACCCCCGAAUUCCA